UCUGGUGACGAUAGCGAAAUGGUCACACCUGUUCCCAUCCCGAACACAGAAGUUAAGCAUUUCCGCGGCGAGAAUAGCUAUGCCUGCCAUAGUGAAGGCAGCUCGUUGCCAGGU
Molecule: non-coding RNA, 114 nt
Organism: Holdemania filiformis DSM 12042
Lineage: Bacteria; Bacillati; Bacillota; Erysipelotrichia; Erysipelotrichales; Erysipelotrichaceae
Source: Rfam